Molecule: non-coding RNA, 102 nt
Filed under: Bacillus sp. (in: firmicutes)
Lineage: Bacteria; Bacillati; Bacillota; Bacilli; Caryophanales; Bacillaceae
Also listed under: 1 other name
Description: Bacillus sp. Guanine sequence
Rfam family: Purine riboswitch aptamer
About the family: Riboswitches are metabolite binding domains within certain messenger RNAs that serve as precision sensors for their corresponding targets.
Source: RNAcentral
UCUAAAUAGGUACGUUACCUUCAUAUAUCCUCGAUAAUAUGGGUCGAGAGUCUCUACCGGGUCGCCGUAAAGGACCUGACUAUGAAGGCGGAAUGAAGUUUU